RNAcentral lists this ribosomal RNA (253 nucleotides) under uncultured bacterium. RNAcentral's name for it is "partial 16S ribosomal RNA". It matches the Rfam family "Bacterial small subunit ribosomal RNA", at positions 524 to 776 of the family's 1533-position model. The record is from RNAcentral.
UACGGAGGGCGCAAGCGUUAUCCGGAAUUACUGGGUUUAAAGGGUGCGUAGGCGGCGCUGUAAGUCAGGGGUGAAAGGUUCCGGCUCAACCGGAGAAUGGCCUUUGAUACUGCAGUGCUGGGAUUGGGUUGAGGUUGGCGGAAUGUGACAUGUAGCGGUGAAAUGCAUAGAUAUGUCAUAGAACACCGAUUGCGAAGGCAGCUGACUGGGCCUUGAUUGACGCUGAGGCACGAAAGCGUGGGGAGCUAACAGG